RNAcentral lists this long non-coding RNA (648 nucleotides) under Elaeis guineensis (African oil palm). Its description in RNAcentral is "long non-coding RNA (EGUI_LNC063748)". The record is from RNAcentral. Lineage: Eukaryota; Viridiplantae; Streptophyta; Magnoliopsida; Arecales; Arecaceae.
CUACGGUAAUAGAAACUUCAUUUUGCGAUGUCAUCUCUCGUUCUUCCAUGUCUCUCAUCUUGUGCUCGAUCCACCUCCACCUAGAGCUCCACUUCGCACUGGACUUCCCUUGGCUCCUGAAGCUUUACCUCACAUUGGGCUCCCUGUUAGGUAAUAAUAUCCUCUUCUUCUUCUUCAAUAUCACCCUAUCGCUACUCAUAACCUUCAGGAUUUCAUUACCAGCUACCCACCUGUAGUCAUUUGAAUCUAGUCUGCUCAGUGAGAUAAGAUUCCGUCUGAAAUUGGAUAUGUAUCGAACCUCAUCCAAUCUUCUUAUUACAUCAUCAUGUGUCCUCUAGCUGACCAUUCUGAUACCUCUGAUCGCACAGCUCGAUCCAUCCAUCAGAUAAAUAAUGCCCUCACUGCUCUCCAUAGAGUCAAACAGCUCUUCUCUGUAACAUACAUGAUGGGUGCAUGCAGAAUAGAAAGUUUACUAUUGAAAAAAAGUAGAUACCUCAUCAGAUAUCAACAGGACAUCAUCCUCUGACUCGCUAUUGGCCAUCAUUGCAGUAGCCCUUGUCUGAUCUCUGAGUAGAUGGCAAUCUCUGACAUAAUUUUCCAACUCAUCACACCGAUAGUACCUGAUCUUGUUGGGAUCCCUCAUCUUGG